This 372-nucleotide ribosomal RNA is filed under the name uncultured organism. RNAcentral describes it as "partial 16S ribosomal RNA". It matches the Rfam family "Bacterial small subunit ribosomal RNA", at positions 527 to 896 of the family's 1533-position model. The record is from RNAcentral.
GUAGGUGGCAAGCGUUGUCCGGAAUUAUUGGGCGUAAAGCGCGCGCAGGCGGUUCUUUAAGUCUGAUGUGAAAGCCCACGGGCUCAACCGUGGAGGGUCAUUGGAAACUGGAGAACUUGAGUACAGAAGAGGAAAGCGGAAUUCCACGUGUAGCGGUGAAAUGCGUAGAGAUGUGGAGGAACACCAGUGCCGAAGGCGGCUUUCUGGUCUGUAACUGACGCUGAGGCGCGAAAGCGUGGGGAGCAAACAGGAUUAGAUACCCUGGUAGUCCACGCCGUAAACGAUGAGUGCUAAGUGUUAGGGGGUUUCCGCCCCUUAGUGCUGCAGCUAACGCAUUAAGCACUCCGCCUGGGGAGUACGGCCGCAAGGCUG